CAAAUUUGGCACAUUGGAACAGUUAGAGCAGAGACAAGGAUGCUUUGUGGGCUGGUGCUUAGGAGUGCUGCACUUCCGAGCACUGGCUGGGGCACAGUGCUCAUGGGAGUGCAGGGUUUUCGUCUGCCAACUGUGCAGCCAAACAAGGGGCUCUGCAGACCCCGACAUUUCAGAGCCAGCGACACCACAUGAGGUGCUGCACUCCACACAUCAUGGUACCUUCAUCUCAUCCAUGCUGUGUGCCUGCUGCUAGCGAACUCCACAUGCCUGCCUGGACUAACACUGCCCCAAACCAGAUGGAGUCGUCAGGAUUAAAUAAAAUUAACAUUCCUUAUAGUUGAAAAUGUAAGUGGCUCAUAGACCAGGUGUCUGGUGUGGUUACAGUCCAGUACAGCUAUCUCUGUGCUUCUGGGAUUAAAAGUGGACAGCUGUGGCUUGAGGAAUGGGGAAGAGUUCAGGUAUACGUGGGUUUGGAUAGUAGAUGAAGGGCUGUAGCCUUGAAACUAGUUAUAGGAAACAUGUUGAGUUGUUUCCCUUGCCUCCCCCUUCCCAGAGAGCUGGCUCCCUCUCACAUGCCAUGGGAGGGGGGAGGGAGAGAGGGGGAGAUGGUGAGUGCUACAAGUCCACUGUGCCACUACGUGUCCGCUGUGCCACCACAACAACGACCAACAUGCAUCUAGCUACCUGCCCAUGCCUCCGCCCUGUUUGAAAGGGAGCAAUGUGCCAAGCUCGGCCUCUGCACAGCAGGACUCAUAAGGAAGCCAGCCCCAGGUCAAUGUCCAGGGAAUACCAGGAGGCUUCCUGCAAGCCCAGCACAGCUUUGUGCCCAGAGAGGCAAUUUAAAGGCCAAGUGGAGACUGUUCCCCCUCAAAUGCAAAACGGAUGGGGUCCUUACAGUUACAUCUUUGCAUUUGCAACGAUUCCUUCAUGCAGGUUUAAUCUCCCUCUUUUCUUGGCAGAGGUUAUGGUCCCCUCAAUCAUCUCAGCCCUGCUGGAUGAUAUUUUAGAGGUCACUUUAAUAACCUCUCCUUGCUUGUCCUCCAUGAAGGACAGAGUAGAGGAGCUAAAGCCUCUUGGCUGGAAGGUGUAAGUGGGAUUAGGGAGAGGAUUGAGCUCUGAAAGGCCGACGCUUCCCAUGCUGAAGAGAUUCUCCUCUCCCUCCAGCAGCUUCCUGCAAGCACAUCAUAAGGGAAAAGGUUAGUCUUAGGAUAUCUUAUAUGAAACGUGCAAAGCCUGGGGCAUGCUGUGACCUGCGAGCAAGUCCAAGUACUGCAGGCCACCACACCAGCCUGCAAUGGACACUGGCUUGGGUCAUGCUGUGCCAUGGAACUGAUUCAAAAUAAUAUGCUUUGGUGAACAGUUUUUGGAGCACCUGCAAUAUGGGGUACAUGAGACCAGUUCCCUCCUCUCCAUUCAGAAAUGCUGGGAAAAUAAAACCACAAACCAGAGCGACUCUGCCUUUUGCAUCUACUUUGACUCUGCAAGAGAGAGAAAUUUCCAACCCCAUCAAAAGCAGCUGCUUAUGGGGUGACUGAGGGACAUGGUUCAUGUCUGCUAGAUCGAGGCAUGCCAUAGAGCCAUGGCAACUCCCCAAGCAGGGAAGAUGAGCAACACAAUGGUGUAUCUUCCUGAGUGUGUUCCCAGGUACUUUACUGGGUCCUUGGAAAUACCCCAGCCUGGUGGGGUCAGGGGAUUGGGCUUGGGAGGUCGCCAGGCAGAGCAGGGGCAGAGCAGCCUUACCUGUAUGCAGCUAUCUCAAUAUCUAGGGCCAUCUUGACAUUAAGCAGGUCUUGGUACUCCCUCAAGUGCCGAGCCAUCUCAUUUUUGGUGUUUCGCAGGUCAUCCUCCAGCUGCCCAAUGGUGUCCUGCAAAGGCAAAGAUAUUCAGGGCUGUGUUUUGGAGCAGGGACCUCUCCCACAGGUUUUAUGCUCUGCUCAUUGCAGAGACAGGGAAGCUGCAAUGGGCAGUUGGUCCAUGAUGGCACAUCCCACUAAGACCUUCAGACCAUGAAAUUUCGUGCUAACAGAGAUGGAGCAGCAGGCAACGCACUGGGCAUGGCUUGUAUCUAAGCAGAAGCCUGAAAGCAGCAAAACCUGUUCCUAUUGGGGAUCUUCUCAAUCAGAUGGUUUCCCACUGCCAGCCACCCCACUGUGCCACUGGAGGAGUGUGAUUUGGAGCAGGAAUGAUGCAGAGACAGCCAUGACAGUGAGACUGCCCAAGGAGCAGUGAGCUGUGCUGAGCCUGGUGCAGCAAGCCUCAUCUGGGCCCCAGAGAAGCAGUGGCAGCUCAUCCUGAAUAUGGCAUGAGGCACCUCAAUCAAGUUAGCUUGAUACAUCCUGCCCUGUCAGACAUUUACCAGCCAUCCUUGGGGUCUCUGCCUUGACCAGUGCUGCCUGACCAUGGAGCUGCAUGGAGCUGUGCCUCUGAGGAAGGACUGAGCAGUUCAAGAAGACCACUUGGCAUCACCUGAAAAGGACAUGCAUGGCUGCAGCCAGGACAUGCAUGGCUGCUGCUGCAGUGCAGAUUAAAAACUCUGCUCCAAUGCAGCCAGACUGCGGCUGCACUCAGCCAUGACAAGAGGGAGGGACUUGGGGUGACCCUGUCAUUGGACAGCCCCACUCUUGCUCUCUGACCCUCUGUGCCCACAGCUCCCUUCCCAAUGCUGCAGUCUGCAUGAACAAAAUGCUCUUUAAAAAUGGGUUAUCCUUGGUACCGUGCAUGUACCUACCUUCCACACCCCAGCUCUACCAGCUGGUAGAAUAACCCCCUCCCCACACCACUGCAAACCUGUCCCCUAAUGGAAAACUCUCAUAUAUUGUUUCAGAUUUGACUGGAUACCCUACAAAUAUCAAGACAUGUCCCUGAUUUAGCAGUCUACAAGAACAUUUUAAAAGCUCAAACAAUAGGAAUGUUCUCUUUUAAGAGUGUUCCAUCCAUUUCCACUGGUUGCAGCCUUUAUGUGCUGCUAGACAUGCACAUUGCUUAAAAGGCUCCUAUGUAUUGCCACACUUAAAACAGCUCCUGAGGGUCAUGUAGGAAAACACUGCUAUGCUAUCACUAAAGCAAUUUCAAUUAUGAUGUCGUUUGAUUCAGCUGCAUUUUUUAUUCCUUCUCAAUUCAUAGGUUGCUCCUGAAAUCCCUCUUCACAUGGCAUCUACACUAUUUAAGAAGAUUACUGUGCAUAAUCCUGUCAUCCACGACAGGAAAUAGAUAUUCCCUAUUUUCACAAUAUUUGCUGAAGAAGACCUCAACUAUUCAGCACUUUUGCAAGCAGCUUGGAGCUCGAGUCAUGAGUUCUAGAGAGCCCAGCAAAAUCUGGCCUUGAAAAUGACAAGGCAUUACUUGGGUAUGAUAUAAUGUUUUUCAUGUAUGAUGUAAGGUGGGGUUUUUUGGUAUUUAGAAGGAAAUGUCUUGAUUUAGAAAGCACAGAUCUUUUAAUAGCCAUGUAACAGAAUAAUAGCCAUGUAAUUUAUUCUAUUAUAAAUCAUGAACA
This is a long non-coding RNA of Melopsittacus undulatus (budgerigar), 3493 nucleotides long. RefSeq lists it as uncharacterized. The transcript is spliced from 3 exons. The record is from RefSeq and is a predicted model, not a curated record. NCBI's taxonomy places the organism in Eukaryota, Metazoa, Chordata, Aves, Psittaciformes, Psittaculidae.